This 399-nucleotide transfer-messenger RNA is filed under the name Schmidingerella taraikaensis. It matches the Rfam family "transfer-messenger RNA". Rfam says of the family: Bacterial tmRNA, also known as 10Sa RNA or SsrA, is named for its dual tRNA and mRNA-like properties. Lineage: Eukaryota; Ciliophora; Spirotrichea; Tintinnida; Rhabdonellidae. The record is from RNAcentral.
GGGGCCGACCUGGCUUUGACAUCGAGAUGACUGGUUCAGUAAGCAUGCCGAGCUUUUGUUUUGUUGGCUCGUUAAUAUCAGCAACUCAGCCUAUAAAUGGCAACACUUCUUACGCGCUUGCUGCGUAAUCUAGUCUAAGACUGAUUACCUUAAUUUGACCUACUAGGUAGGCAAACGAGCUGUCCCACAAAAAGGUUGGCUCUUGACCUUUUGAUUUGGGAUAUCGUGAAUAAGAGCUAGCGAUGGCAGAACCUGGAUGCCUCAGCGAAACCAACAGGAUAAGUUAUUGGAGUGGUUGUUUCUUGCCAGUCAGUAAUCGAAAACCAAUAAGAAAAUAAGCAUGUAGAAAGCUCAAUCUUUCCUUGUUUGGACGGGGGUUCGACUCCCCUCGGCUCCACA